GUAGGGAAUAUUGGGCAAUGGUCGGAAGACUGACCCAGCCAUGCCGCGUGCAGGAAGACGGCCCUCUGGGUUGUAAACUGCUUUUAUCUGGGAAGAAAAAGGCCAUGCGUGGCAAAUUGCCGGUACCAGAUGAAUAAGCACCGGCUAACUCCGUGCCAGCAGCCGCGGUAAUACGGAGGGUGCAAGCGUUGUCCGGAUUUAUUGGGUUUAAAGGGUGCGUAGGCGGCUGAUUAAGUCAGCGGUGAAAGACUCCGGCUUAACCGGAGCAGUGCCGUUGAUACUGGUUAGCUUGAGUGUUGGAGGGGUACAUGGAAUUGAUGGUGUAGCGGUGAAAUGCAUAGAUACCAUCAGGAACACCGAUAGCGAAGGCAUUGUACUGGCCGACAACUGACGCUGAUGCACGAAAGUGUGGGGAUCGAACAGGAUUAGAAACCCCGGUAGUCC
Molecule: ribosomal RNA, 444 nt
Filed under: uncultured bacterium
Lineage: Bacteria
Description: partial 16S ribosomal RNA
Rfam family: Bacterial small subunit ribosomal RNA
Source: RNAcentral